This 75-nucleotide transfer RNA is filed under the name Myochromella boudieri. RNAcentral's name for it is "tRNA-Pro". The record is from RNAcentral. Lineage: Eukaryota; Fungi; Basidiomycota; Agaricomycetes; Agaricales; Lyophyllaceae.
ACGGUAGAUGACAAAUUGGCCAGUCGCUCCAUUUGGGAUGGAGAGCUAUUGCGUGUUCGAAUCGCGCCUACCGUA